CUACGUAGGGGGUGAGCGUUGUCCGGAAUGACUGGGCGUAAAGGGCGUGUAGGCGGCGGUGUAAGUCUGGAGUGAAAGUCCCGCAUUCAAUGUGGGAAUUGCUUUGGAUACUGCAGUGCUAGAGUGCGGAAGAGGUAAGAGGAAUUCCCAGUGUAGCGGUGAAAUGCGUAGAGAUUGGGAGGAACACCAGUGGCGAAGGCGACUUACUGGGCCGUAACUGACGCUGAGGCGCGAAAGCGUGGGGAGCGAACAGGAUUAGAUACCCUGGUAGUCCACGCGGUAAACGAUGAAUGCUAGGUGUUGCGGGUAUCGACCCCUGCAGUGCCGGAGUCAACACAAUAAGCAUUCCGCCUGGGGAGUACGGCCGCAAGGUUGAAACUCAAAGGAAUUGACGGGG
This 397-nucleotide ribosomal RNA is filed under the name uncultured bacterium. RNAcentral's name for it is "partial 16S ribosomal RNA". It matches the Rfam family "Bacterial small subunit ribosomal RNA", at positions 523 to 918 of the family's 1533-position model. The record is from RNAcentral.